AAUAAAGUCAGGAUGGAGGUCUUUACCAAGUUCUUAGAAGAAAUGGGCCAAAUAGCAAAGGGAAAUCAAACUAUAGGAUCCCCGCCCGGCUUAGCUCUUCCUUGAAGCUGGGCACCGAGACCCCCCCCCACGAGGUGCCAAGGAAGAGGUGGGCAAACAGGAGGGGGAGAAGUCAGGGC
This 179-nucleotide long non-coding RNA is filed under the name Fukomys damarensis (Damara mole-rat). Its description in RNAcentral is "lncRNA (ENSFDAG00000025058.1)". Lineage: Eukaryota; Metazoa; Chordata; Mammalia; Rodentia; Bathyergidae. The record is from RNAcentral.